Non-coding RNA from Jatropha curcas, 1267 nucleotides. The record is from RefSeq and is a predicted model, not a curated record. NCBI's taxonomy places the organism in Eukaryota, Viridiplantae, Streptophyta, Magnoliopsida, Malpighiales, Euphorbiaceae.
AUUUUUUUUUUUUUUUUUUUUGUUAAUAUUCUUGUGCUUCAUUAAGGUUUAAAACCUUCGUAUGUACCUGAAUGCUAUUUCCAAUUAUUAAUGGAAAGAACGAAAUAAUGAACGGCCAACAAAUUACAUUUUGGAUCUUUCUGGAUCUUUUAGACUGGUUGGAGAAGUUGAUGUUGAAAAGAGAAAUUUCUUUGGAGUGUACUAAUGAAAGACUUCUGCAGUUGUCUUUUCUUGUAGCUAGUUUUGAACUUGUGAAAGGAUCAAAUGUUGAAGAUUGCUACUAAUGUGCCUUGGCCUGAGGCACGUGGAAGGAAAAUAGAUGAAAAAGUUUCUCAAAUUUGCAUAUUACAUGGAAGAACUAUUUUUAUUUUUUAAAUUUCUUAAAUGUCCACUACUGAACCUUCUUUUAACGUGCAGCCGCAGCGAUGAGCAGUCAGCACUGAAGUUGAGAUGCAGAUACCGAUGGAAGCUAGAUUUGGCUGGUCUUCUCAUGUUAAUCAGAUUGUUGGCAUGAGAAUCACCUUAUUGUCAUGUUCUUCUACGCGUGAGAGUUCGAAAAACAUUCACCUGCAGUCAACUUGCAAUACAAUUUCACCAUGCCACUUACAAGACUUGUUCUUAAAAUGAAUUAUUAUGUUCCUCAAAGAAACUUUAAAAUCCUAGACUAUACCCAAUUUUGUGUUUCUCUCAGUGCAGGAAGACACCUGUUAGGCAUGUCUGCUCUUCUUUGUACAGAAACUCCUCUGAGUCAUUUUCAAGGGGACAACAAACUUUACGAUAACCAAUAAACUGAGAAAUUGGAGCCCUUAGCUUUGACAUGAUAGCUAGACAUGGCCAUUACUGAUGAAGCCACUGAAUCCCCAGAAAACAAGAAGACAGAGAUACAUAUGCUUCCUCCAAAAAGAGGCCAAAUCAAGGUGAAGAUAUUCUCUAAGUUAGCCAAUAUGGUAGCCAAAGCAGGAAAAGCCCUUAAUAAAAAGAAGAUAAAGGAGGAUCAACCUCAGCAACCAAAUGGCUCCACCUCCAUGCACAAAUAAUAAUACUAAUAGAAUACAUUUUGGUAAGCUGUAAUAUCACAUUACAUUCCAUUACGCCUUACCAAGUGCGGGCUAUCGUUCUAAUGGGAAUUCUGUUUCUGUUGAACCUAUUACUGUAUAUCUUUCUAACAUUUCUUCGCAACUUUGCUGGUUCCAGCUUUUGCUGUGAUUUCCUGAUAUUGUUGUGUAUCAGUACUUGGUGGAUUUUGAAUAAAGUACCUAAUUACUUA